This 492-nucleotide ribosomal RNA is filed under the name uncultured bacterium. Its description in RNAcentral is "partial 16S ribosomal RNA". It matches the Rfam family "Bacterial small subunit ribosomal RNA", at positions 29 to 507 of the family's 1533-position model. The record is from RNAcentral.
AGUGAACGCUGGCGGUAGACCUAACACAUGCAAGUCGAACGGCAGCACAGUAAGAGCUUGCUCUUACGGGUGGCGAGUGGCGGACGGGUGAGGAAUACAUCGGAAUCUACUUUUUCGUGGGGGAUAACGUAGGGAAACUUACGCUAAUACCGCAUACGACCUACGGGUGAAAGCAGGGGAUCUUCGGACCUUGCGCGAUUGAAUGAGCCGAUGUCGGAUUAGCUAGUUGGCGGGGUAAAGGCCCACCAAGGCGACGAUCCGUAGCUGGUCUGAGAGGAUGAUCAGCCACACUGGAACUGAGACACGGUCCAGACUCCUACGGGAGGCAGCAGUGGGGAAUAUUGGACAAUGGGCGCAAGCCUGAUCCAGCCAUACCGCGUGGGUGAAGAAGGCCUUUGGGUUGUAAAGCCCUUUUGUUGGGAAAGAAAAGCAGCAGGUUAAUACCCCGCUGUUCUGACGGUACCCAAAGAAUAAGCACCGGCUAACUUCGUG